RNAcentral lists this ribosomal RNA (451 nucleotides) under uncultured bacterium. RNAcentral describes it as "bacterial SSU rRNA". It matches the Rfam family "Bacterial small subunit ribosomal RNA", at positions 96 to 562 of the family's 1533-position model. The record is from RNAcentral.
CGGCGGACGGGUGAGUAACGCGUGGGCAACCUGCCUUCCACUGGGGGAUAACACAGGGAAACCCGUGCUAAUACCGCAUGACAUCACAUAGGGCAUCCUGUGUGAUCAAAGGAGUGAUCCGGUGGAAGAUGGGCCCGCGUCCGAUUAGCUAGUUGGUGAGGUAACGGCUCACCAAGGCGACGAUCGGUAGCCGGACUGAGAGGUUGGCCGGCCACAUUGGGACUGAGACACGGCCCAGACUCCUACGGGAGGCAGCAGUGGGGAAUAUUGCGCAAUGGGGGGAACCCUGACGCAGCGACGCCGCGUGAAGGAAGAAGGCCUUCGGGUUGUAAACUUCUUUGAUGAGGGACGAAGGAAGUGACGGUACCUCAAAAACAAGCCACGGCUAACUACGUGCCAGCAGCCGCGGUAAUACGUAGGUGGCGAGCGUUGUCCGGAAUUACUGGGUGUA